ACGGGGUGCAGCAGGCGCGAAACCUUUACACUGCACGAAAGUGCGAUAAGGCUAUACCGAGUGCCACCCGCUGAGGGUGGCUUUUCCUAGGUCUAAAUAGCUUGGGGAAUAAGGGGAGGGCAAGACUGGUGUCAGCCGCCGCGGUAAUACCAGCUCUCCGAGUGGUGUGGAUGUUUAUUGGGCCUAAAGCAUCCGUAGCUGGCCAAGUUAGUCCCCUGUUAAAUCCACCGAAUUAAUCGUUGGAGUGCGGGGGAUACUGCUCGGCUAGGGGACGAGAGAGGCCGACGGUAUUUUCGGGGUAGGGGUGAAAUCCUAUAAUCCCGGGAAGACCACCAGUGGCGAAGGCUGUCGGCUAGAACGCGCCCAACGGUGAGGGAUGAAAGCUGGGGGAGCGAACCGGAUUAGAUACCCGGGUAGUCCCAGCCGUAAACGAUGCAGGCUAGGUGUUUGGGCGGCCACGCGCCGCUCUAGUGCCGCAGGGAGGCUGUUAAGCCUGCCGCCUGGGGAGUACGGCCGCAAGGCUGAAACUUAAAGGAAUUGGCGGGGGAGCAC
Molecule: ribosomal RNA, 552 nt
Filed under: uncultured archaeon
Lineage: Archaea
Description: bacterial SSU rRNA
Rfam family: Archaeal small subunit ribosomal RNA
Source: RNAcentral